Xiphophorus hellerii (green swordtail) is the source of this 2614-nucleotide long non-coding RNA. RefSeq lists it as uncharacterized. NCBI's taxonomy places the organism in Eukaryota, Metazoa, Chordata, Actinopteri, Cyprinodontiformes, Poeciliidae. The transcript has 3 exons. The record is from RefSeq and is a predicted model, not a curated record.
AACAGUGGGGGGAAAUAGCAAAAAUAACGAUCCCAACAAUAUGGACACUUUUUUUAAACAUUAACUGGAACUUAUCGUGACAACGAUAAAUCAAAAACCUUAUCAUGACAAGAAAUCUUUCAUGAUAAAUGAUAAACGAUACGAUAAGUGUCCCCUCAUCACCUCAGCCCCAGCCUCCUCCACCCAGACCGACUCAUGGUGGGCAAAAAUAAUAAUAAGUAAAAUCGCAAAGCUUCAAAAUAACCAGGAUCCGUUUGUGCUACGUUCUGCACUGAGCGAAAGGAUUUCCAUUGAUUUUACUUUCUAUGUAUCUUGACGAUACUUCUGUUCCACUACAUCUUUUGCAGCCUACAACAGAACCGCCCUGCAGAGAAAUGAGAAAAACAGAGUCAGGUGAGUAGGUGGUCUUUAAAGGCAGCUCUGCUCGGCACGCUGCAGCUCUAUACAUAGACACGGCUGGAUCAGAUCGGUGAGUGUGUUAACCACACCUUCCCAGACACUGCAGUAAAUCUAAGAGAAAAAAAAAGUGAUUUAAUUAAGCUCGUAAAACGGUAUGUAAGUAACUCUGCUGUUGUACUGAAUGUGAUGAAAGCGGGUCUCGUUUAUUGAGCUUAACGGUUGUGACGGGUUUUUUUCCUGCAGAUAAACUUCCGGCGUGUGGAAAUCAGCCCUUCUGCCUGGCUCCACCCUGACCCGGCGCGCUCGUUACGUCCGCACGGCUGAGUGCGCCUUGCGUAAGCGUUUUUAAUAUUUCAAGGCCCGAGAUGAAAAAUGCAUCUGUUUGAACUGUAAGUGCAUGAUUGGAGUUGGACGAAAAGGUCACAACGGAGCGGCCGCGGGUGAGGGAAGUGUUCAUAAACGGGCUCCUUUCCUCGCUUCUGCAACGUUUCUAUUUGAGAGGAAGAGAAACAAAUCUGACGGCAUGAAAGCUCCCAGAGUUGUUGACAACUUCACUCAGACAAAAAGGAGGCUUUCUCACGAGCGCAGAGGCGUCGCGGUUUAAUUCUGGGGCAGGUGUCCCAGGCCGCGGCCUGCCAAGCGUUCUGCACGAAAAGGUAAGAUUGACAAAAAACGCCUUCAGGUCUGCCUCUGCGGAGUCCCGUUCAAAAAAAGAAAAAAGAAACUUCAGAGCCCGCUUUGAAGGAUGGUGGAGAGGAAGGCUUGCAGGCGGGACGCGCCGGCUACGCCGAACCGUUCCGAGGUUCAAGACGAAUAUGCCGUCUCGGGAGUCGGAAGGAAGCAAACAAAGCGACGUCUAAAAAUAGACUCCAUUUGCGUUAGGGCGAAGACGAAUGUGGACUUUUGAGAGCGAGUCUCGUUAGUAGAUUUGGCUGUUCGAGUUUGCAUUGAUUGAGCUCGGAGAGUGGCUUUGAUUAAAAGGAACCGUGGGGGCAUUUUGUGAGAGGCGCUGGAGGAAAAAAAAACAGAAAAAAAAGCCCCAUGAUGCACGGAGGCGAUGGGUGAUUGGUUUAAAACCGCUCGUCGGGCCGAUACGAUGUGCUGUGCAGUCAAUACUCGGCUCCUCUCCUCUCUUCUGCGUCCCAGCUGAUGCAGCAGGAAGCAAAAAGGCUCCUUCUCUCAGCUGGAGCUGGGAGGAGCUGUCAGUCCCUUCAGCUCGGCUUGAUGGUAGCAUUUCAAGUGACACUUUGAUCCUCGCUCCUCACUGUUUGUUUUUUCCCGGUGAUGAAAUUCAGCUGGAGAGGCGUGCAACAGGGCGCAUCGUUACAACGCCGAGCAAACAACCCGGGCUUGUCCCUAGCAAAAAAAAAAAGGCUCACGACGAUUUUUUUUUUUUGUUUGUCACAUCUGCUUAGAGAACACAAGACGGGGUGGGUGGCAGGCAGACGCGGAGGCCCACCACCCCGCCCCACUUCACCCUCCGCUGGGACUCCGCCGGAGCGACGCUGGAGCUAAACUCUGGAGAAUAAACGAGUCUGGCAGAGCGGAGAGUCGUCUGAAAGAAGCUUUUAGGAAAUUCUUUCUAUACAGCCAAGGAGAACAUUUAAGGGUUACCUAUUAACGCAGUACAAAACAUGUUCAUUACACUUUUUAUUUUUUUAUUUUACAAAACGUACAGCUGUCUCUCUUUGAAAAGCAGAAGUGGAGUCUCCUGCACAUCCAACAGCAAUGCAGCAAGUUUUUUCUAGACUGUAAGUCAACAGCAAAACAAUUUGUCUCUUCCAGAAGCCGUUGUACCGCGUAAGACAAGCUGACCAAACGUGCUGGAGCUCUGCUUGGGUUGCUAGGUAACAGGCUCAACGACUGUCAAAUGUGGCUUAGCAAUCAAGAGGUUUUUGAAACAACACCAAAUGACAUCUGAGUGUAUUCUUUAAGCGCUUGGGCUGUUUUAGAAGCAGUAGAGACCCAAAUGGAAGCACAGAAACAUACAACAUAUGAGUUUUGCUUAAUAGGUUCCUUAAAGAGUUGCCAAACACUGCCCCUAGAGGACUGGAGUUGAAUCCUCCUUGACGUACGCCUUGAGCUUUUUCACUUUUUGUCUCACAAACUUCAACAUACAGUAUGUUAUUAGGAUUUUACGUUACAGGUCAACACAAAGUAUUGCAUAUUAAUUUAUGGGAAGAAAAAAGAUGCAUGGCUUCUAAAAUAAAUUUAA